AAUAAAGAUUUUCCCGCCAUUUAUGGCUACUGUUUUCGACCUAGCUCAGUGGCGCCCCCAACGUAAAGUACAGAAAAAUGUACCAACUAGAACACUUAAAAACAAAUGGAGAAACUUUCAAAUGCUUUGAAUUACCGUUGCUGGAUUACUGUUGAGGUUAUGUUUGACCUUGGUAUGACUGGCAGGGUAGUCAUCGUCAUGUUCCAAUUGCAUGCCCCCUCUCUGCCACAUCAGUAAAAUUUGCCACAAAAGUUUUAAAAAACGACUUUAAACAACAAAAAAGGCCCUAUUUUCAUUAACAAUGAGACAUAUCUCGCUGCAUGCGGCACGACAUAGGCCUCAUAGACCAAUCUCAUUGUGAAUGGUUUUCGCUGAGAUCACUUUGAGAGGGUUUCACUGAGACUGACGUUGGCGGAAGGCUGAAACCUGCCUCGCGACAAGUCUUUGCACCAACAUUCGAAAACGCUGUCAAUGGCUUAAAAUGAUAAACUUUGUCAGUUUUUUUGUGUCUUUUGGGAUUAGUCUUUGAGUCCUGUCGCGCCGCAUGUAGCGAAACAGAUCUCAUUGUGAAUGGGUUCUUUAAGAAACAGUUUCAAUGUAAACCACAAGACAUACACUGAGACGGCCUCAUGCCUCAUAUCAUGGCUUGUAAUUGACAGCGUUUUAUAGAAUGAUUUGGAAUCAUAAUGCAGAGAUGGUUGCUAGACAGGCAGGCAGGUCUCAAGCCUACUGCAGAAGUCGCUCUCAGUGAGUCCAUGUCUUAGAGAUGCAAGACCAAUUUAGACCAUUUACAGUGAGAUUGGUGUCCGAGACCUAUGUCAUGCAGGAAGCCAAACUUUAUCGUGAAUGGACCCUUUUCAAUGAGUGUGUACUUUUUGAAUAAAUUUGAAAUGGCCUUUUUGAAAAAAACAGUUGUCUCUCUUUUAUUCAUCUAUUCAACACGUUUGUAUUCGAUGCACUUACACCAAUUUCAUUAUCAGUGUCUUGAUUAUCAGGCAAGGGCAAAGUGGAAUUGGGGGCAACACAGAAAUAAAAACACUUUAAUUUCCUUUAUUAGUAGGCUAUA
Molecule: long non-coding RNA, 1066 nt
Organism: Tribolium castaneum (red flour beetle)
Lineage: Eukaryota; Metazoa; Arthropoda; Insecta; Coleoptera; Tenebrionidae
Exons: 3
Source: RefSeq, a predicted model, not a curated record